Molecule: ribosomal RNA, 408 nt
Filed under: Citrobacter freundii
Lineage: Bacteria; Pseudomonadati; Pseudomonadota; Gammaproteobacteria; Enterobacterales; Enterobacteriaceae
Description: bacterial LSU rRNA
Rfam family: Bacterial large subunit ribosomal RNA
Source: RNAcentral
GCUCAUCACAUCCUGGGGCUGAAGUAGGUCCCAAGGGUAUGGCUGUUCGCCAUUUAAAGUGGUACGCGAGCUGGGUUUAGAACGUCGUGAGACAGUUCGGUCCCUAUCUGCCGUGGGCGCUGGAGAAUUGAGGGGGGCUGCUCCUAGUACGAGAGGACCGGAGUGGACGCAUCACUGGUGUUCGGGUUGUCAUGCCAAUGGCAUUGCCCGGUAGCUAAAUGCGGAAGAGAUAAGUGCUGAAAGCAUCUAAGCACGAAACUUGCCCCGAGAUGAGUUCUCCCUGAGACUUUAAGUCUCCUGAAGGAACGUUAAAGACGAUGACGUUGAUAGGUCGGGUGUGUAAGCGUAGCGAUACGUUGAGCUAACCGAUACUAAUGAACCGUGAGGCUUAACCUUACAACGCCGAAG